AUUGAACGCUGGCGGCAGGCUUAACACAUGCAAGUCGAGCGGUAACAGGAAGAAGCUUGCUUCUUUGCUGACGAGCGGCGGACGGGUGAGUAAUGCCUAGGAAUCUGCCUGGUAGUGGGGGAUAACUUGCCGAAAGGUAAGCUAAUACCGCAUACGUCCUACGGGAGAAAGCAGGGGAGCCUUCGGGUCCUUGCGCUAUUAGAUGAGCCUAGGUCGGAUUAGCUAGUUGGUGGGGUAACGGCCUACCAAGGCCUCGAUAGGUAGCCGGCCUGAGAGGGUGAACGGCCACACUGGAACUGAGACACGGUCCAGACUCCUACGGGAGGCAGCAGUGGGGAAUAUUGCACAAUGGAGGAAACUCUGAUGCAACGACGCCGCGUGAAUGAUGAAGGCCUUCGGGUCGUAAAGUUCUGUCCUUGGGGAAGAAACGGACGGUACCCAAGGAGGAAGCCCCGGCUAACUACGUGCCAACAGCCGCGGUAAUACGUAUGGGGCGAGCGNUGUCCGGAAUAUUGGGCGUAAAGGGUUCGCACGCGGUCUUUUAAGUCAGAUGUGAAAUACAUAGGCUCA
RNAcentral lists this ribosomal RNA (570 nucleotides) under uncultured bacterium. RNAcentral's name for it is "bacterial SSU rRNA". It matches the Rfam family "Bacterial small subunit ribosomal RNA", at positions 28 to 611 of the family's 1533-position model. The record is from RNAcentral.